This 449-nucleotide ribosomal RNA is filed under the name uncultured eukaryote. RNAcentral describes it as "bacterial SSU rRNA". It matches the Rfam family "Eukaryotic small subunit ribosomal RNA", at positions 592 to 1018 of the family's 1831-position model. The record is from RNAcentral.
CAAUAGCGUAUAUUAAAGUUGUUGCGGUUAAAAGCUCGUAGUUGGAUUUCUGCUGAGGACGACCGGUCCGCCCUCCGGGUGAGCAUCUGGUUCGGCCUUGGCAUCUUCUUGGUGAACGUAUCUGCACUUGACUGUGUGGUGCGGUACCCAAGACUUUUACUUUGAGGAAAUUAGAGUGUUUCAAGCAGGCAUACGCCUUGAAUACAUUAGCAUGGAAUAAUAAGAUAGGACCUCGGUUCUAUUUUGUUGGUUUCUAGAGCUGAGGUAAUGAUUAAUAGGGGAUAGGUUGGGGCAUUCGUUAAUUUAACUGUCAAGGAGGUAGUAAAUUUCGUUGGUAUUUUAGUUAAAGACGGACUACUGACGAAAGCUAUUUCGACCGAAAGGAUUUGUUUUCUAUUGAUACAAAGAAACGUAAAGGUUAGGGGAUACGAAGACGAUCAGACUACCGU